UACAGAGGUCCCGAGCGUUGUUCGGAUUAACUGGGCGUAAAGGGUGUGUAGGAGGUUGGGUAAGUCGGAUGUGAAAUCUCACCGCUUAACGGUGAAACUGCAUUCGAUACUGCUUAACUCGAGGAUCGGAGGGGGGAGUGGAAUUCUUGGUGUAGCAGUGAAAUGCGUAGAUAUCAAGAGGAACACCAGCGGCGAAGGCGACUCCCUGGAAGAUUCCUGACUCUGAAACACGAAAGCUAGGGGAGCAAAC
This 250-nucleotide ribosomal RNA is filed under the name uncultured bacterium. RNAcentral describes it as "partial 16S ribosomal RNA". It matches the Rfam family "Bacterial small subunit ribosomal RNA", at positions 524 to 773 of the family's 1533-position model. The record is from RNAcentral.